UAAUGAAAAUCUCAAACAUUUAUUUAUUAUUUAUUUAUUUACUCUGAUGCUCCAUGUCAGUAGUACACUCAGAAAGAAGAUCGUGGGAAACUGGAGACGGUCAUUAGCUCCUUUUUCUAUAUGAGUUUCUUCCCGGUAAUUCAAAUUUCUUGAGAGGAUCAAAUGGUGGCCGUGUGGCAAAUUCUAAGAAUAGUUAAAAGCAAAUUUGAUUCCAAGAAAGGCAUUCAAUAAGAUUUAUCUAGUGAAUCGGCCAGAUACGAAUUACCGAAAUAUAAAGCACAAUAAAAUUCCUUCGACCAUUUUUUCAGAAAUUCAUAAGCUGUAAUGUUUCUUUACCACCGUACAUCCUAAUCAGUAUAACCAUCACCCUUCCAUGUACUACAGUGCUUUUACCAUGUCUCGCUGUUUUAUUGUGGGAGUGUCAUUGCCUACAAGUCUCCAUAAGUUUCAUAUAUGAUAAUCAAGACAAUCAUUAUAAAUCUGAAUCAAAAUUGCUAAUGAAUCACAAUUAUCAAGUUCACAAAUCUAUCAUUAAUGAGCAAAAUAUUUACGAGACGUUCUGCAAUUUUAGAGUAGUCAUAUCUCAUGAAAAUGAAAGAAAUAAUUGACUAAGCAGAAAGUUGUAGGAUACAAAAUAAGAAAAGAGCAGCUAAUAAAUUAAUUUUAAAAAAUUGGAUAAGCAAUAUACCUAUUCCCUUUAAUGCAAGAGAUUCUCAAAAUGCUACUCUCAACUUCUACCAUCCACAUCAAACCCAGCCCCAGUCCAACCAGGUGCUGCCG
This 780-nucleotide long non-coding RNA is filed under the name Olea europaea (common olive). Its description in RNAcentral is "long non-coding RNA (OEUR_LNC004380)". The record is from RNAcentral. Lineage: Eukaryota; Viridiplantae; Streptophyta; Magnoliopsida; Lamiales; Oleaceae.